Molecule: non-coding RNA, 72 nt
Organism: Phrynosoma platyrhinos (Desert horned lizard)
Lineage: Eukaryota; Metazoa; Chordata; Lepidosauria; Squamata; Phrynosomatidae
Source: the annotation of a GenBank genome assembly
ACCAGUGUGGCGUACUGGUUUGAGUGUUGGACUGCGACUCUGGGGACCAGGGUUCGAUUCCCAGCUCAGCCA